CUGCUCAGAAGACUCACUGGUUCCCUCUUCCCUUUUGAAGGACUUAAAGGAGAAGAAGGAAGUUGUGGAGGAGGCAGAGAAUGGACGAGACGCCCCUGCCAAUGGGAACGCUAACGAGGAAAAUGGGGAGCAAGAGGCUGACAAUGA
Non-coding RNA from Microcebus murinus (gray mouse lemur), 147 nucleotides. The record is from RefSeq and is a predicted model, not a curated record. Lineage: Eukaryota; Metazoa; Chordata; Mammalia; Primates; Cheirogaleidae.